This 274-nucleotide ribosomal RNA is filed under the name uncultured bacterium. Its description in RNAcentral is "partial 16S ribosomal RNA". It matches the Rfam family "Bacterial small subunit ribosomal RNA", at positions 523 to 796 of the family's 1533-position model. The record is from RNAcentral.
AUACGGAGGGGGUUAGCGUUGUUCGGAAUUACUGGGCGUAAAGCGCACGUAGGCGGAUUGGAAAGUUGGGGGUGAAAUCCCAGGGCUCAACCCUGGAACUGCCUCCAAAACUAACAGUCUAGAGUUCGAGAGAGGUGAGUGGAAUUCCAAGUGUAGAGGUGAAAUUCGUAGAUAUUUGGAGGAACACCAGUGGCGAAGGCGGCUCACUGGCUCGAUACUGACGCUGAGGUGCGAAAGCGUGGGGAGCAAACAGGAUUAGAUACCCCUGUAGUCC